GACGAACGCUGGCGGCGUGCUUAACACAUGCAAGUCGAACGGUAAGGCCCUUCGGGGUACACGAGUGGCGAACGGGUGAGUAACACGUGGGUGAUUUGCCCUGCACUUCGGGAUAAGCCUGGGAAACUGGGUCUAAUACCGGAUAGGACCACUGCCUGCAUGGGUGGUGGUGGAAAGCUUUUGCGGUGUGGGAUGGGCCCGCGGCCUAUCAGCUGGUUGGUGGGGUGAUGGCCUACCAAGGCGUCGACGCGUAGCCGGCCUGAGAGGGUGUCCGGCCACACUGGGACUGGGGUCCGGCCCAGACCCCUACGGGAAGCAGCAGUGGGGAAUAUUGCACAAUGGGCGCAAGCCUGAUACAGCGGCGCCGCGUGGGGGAUGACGGCCUUCGGGUUGUAAACCUCUUUCAGCACAGACGAAGCGCAAGUGACGGUAUGUGCAGAAGAAGCACCGGCCAACUACGUGCCAGCCGCCGCGGUAA
This 478-nucleotide ribosomal RNA is filed under the name uncultured bacterium. Its description in RNAcentral is "partial 16S ribosomal RNA". It matches the Rfam family "Bacterial small subunit ribosomal RNA", at positions 28 to 523 of the family's 1533-position model. The record is from RNAcentral.